Molecule: ribosomal RNA, 253 nt
Filed under: uncultured bacterium
Lineage: Bacteria
Description: partial 16S ribosomal RNA
Rfam family: Bacterial small subunit ribosomal RNA
Source: RNAcentral
GACGAACCGUGCGAACGUUGUUCGGAUUCACUGGGCUUAAAGGGCGCGUAGGCGGGCUGCCAAGUCAGGGGUGAAAGCUCCCGGCCCAACCGGGAAAGGGCCUUUGAUACUGGCGGCCUCGAGGGAGGUAGGGGCACGCGGAACUUCCGGUGGAGCGGUGAAAUGCGUAGAGAUCGGAAGGAACGCCGGUGGCGAAAGCGGCGUGCUGGACCUCUUCUGACGCUGAGGCGCGAAAGCCAGGGGAGCGAACGGG